GGGCAAGAGAGGACGCGGCUGCGACUGCCCCCAGCCCGGCCUCACAUCACUCAGGGACAGAGGGACAGAGACAGGGACAGAGAGAGAGAGAAAGAGAGAAAAGCACAGGGUCACAGGAAGACUGACGGGCAAAGACACAGUUACAGACCUAUGAACAGAGCCACACGCCAAACAGGGACAAACCGUUGAGGGAGGAGAAACUCCCAGGAGCCUGGAGAGAAUGGCUCGGCACAGCAGAUGCAGCCGUGGUGGCCAUGGAGCUGACCAGCCUCUUGGGAGUGAGCUGGCCACCUGAGCAGGGUCCACUCAGCCCACACAAGCAGCAGCACCACCUCGCUGACAGGAGCUUCGUCAAUGCCUGCCGCCUCCUCCUUCCAUAACGAGGGACCACCUAGCAGGGACUUUCACUUUUAUUUCCACAGAGAACCUUGUGGUUAGAAGUCCAAUGGGUCUAGGCUGUGGGAAUCUUCUUAUUAACCACAAACAGAUGUCAAAAGGAUCUUUCCUAAUACUGUAGAUAGUGCACUUGGCUCGUGUGGGAGUCCACUGUCUGUGGAAACAUUACUCGUCUAUUUUUCAGGUAUGGUCUAUAUACAUAAAAGGCAGAGAUCUUAAAGGUACAGUUUGAUCCAUUUUGACAAAUGGAUACACCCCCUGUUUUUAUCAGAUGCUUCACUGAGCCCCCGUUUCAUGGUGUAAUUUAAGUGCCAUGACACCUGGAUACCCCCACCUUCUAUGAUCAGUGAUAUUCACAUGAAUCAGUUACAUACUGCUUGAGGCUGGCUGGCCUGACACUUGGCCAUUGUUUGUUUGAGACCUACAAGUAGGUAGGUGGGCUGUUGUCUGCCCCUAAACCAUGUCAGCUCAGGGGCAGUUCAGUUAUGGCUGAGCUUCGAGCUGCAUGCUGGGUGCCCCAGGAUGCAGCAGAGGGUCACCCAAUGACCAGGCUCUUUCUGUAGUUCCCUGUGGCCCAAGCUAGGAGAACAGAAACUUCAAUCAUGGAUGAGGCUGUUUCUAGGUGGCAAAUAUUUAUCAUAGGUAUCUCAUUAAUUACCUGGUAUAAAGUAAUUUGCUUU
RNAcentral lists this long non-coding RNA (1076 nucleotides) under Pan troglodytes (chimpanzee). RNAcentral describes it as "long non-coding RNA NONPTRT013742". The record is from RNAcentral. Lineage: Eukaryota; Metazoa; Chordata; Mammalia; Primates; Hominidae.